UGUGAAGUGCCUGAUCUGAAAGGGUAAUUUUGAUAGAAUUAAUCAUGUGUUUACACCUUCAUAA
This 64-nucleotide transfer RNA is filed under the name Diabrotica barberi (northern corn rootworm). RNAcentral's name for it is "tRNA-Ile". The record is from RNAcentral. Lineage: Eukaryota; Metazoa; Arthropoda; Insecta; Coleoptera; Chrysomelidae.